Molecule: non-coding RNA, 241 nt
Organism: Notechis scutatus (mainland tiger snake)
Lineage: Eukaryota; Metazoa; Chordata; Lepidosauria; Squamata; Elapidae
Source: RefSeq, a predicted model, not a curated record
UCUGUGCCACGUUGACAGGGUGACUCCGGUGGCCCCCUCAACUGCCAGGGCAAGGACGGCAGGUGGUACGUCCACGGGAUCGCCAGCUUCGUGUCCGCCAUGGGCUGCAACGCCUUGAGGAAGCCCACCGUCUUCACCCGGGUUUCUGCCUUCGACGGUUGGAUCCUGAAGAUACUCAGGGGCCAGUGAGGAGGAGAACAGGCCAGGCUUCUAGUUCCAGAAUAAAUUCACUUUGGAGAUG